This 496-nucleotide ribosomal RNA is filed under the name uncultured bacterium. RNAcentral's name for it is "partial 16S ribosomal RNA". It matches the Rfam family "Bacterial small subunit ribosomal RNA", at positions 28 to 506 of the family's 1533-position model. The record is from RNAcentral.
GAUGAACGCUGGCGGCGUGCCUAAUACAUGCAAGUCGAGCGAACAGAUAAGGAACUUGCUCCUUUGACGUUAGCGGCGGACGGGUGAGUUACACGUGGAUAACCUACCUAUAAGACUGGGAUAACUUCGGGAAACCGGAGCUAAUACCGGAUAACAUAUUGAACCGCAUGGUUCAAUAGUGAAAGGCGGCUUUGCUGUCACUUAUAGAUGGAUCCGCGCCGUAUUAGCUAGUUGGUAAGGUAACGGCUUACCAAGGCAACGAUACGUAGCCGACCUGAGAGGGUGAUCGGCCACACUGGAACUGAGACACGGUCCAGACUCCUACGGGAGGCAGCAGUAGGGAAUCUUCCGCAAUGGGCGAAAGCCUGACGGAGCAACGCGGCGUGAGUGAUGAAGGUCUUCGGAUCGUAAAACUCUGUUAUCAGGGAAGAACAAAUGUGUAAGUAACUGUGCACAUCUUGACGGUACCGGAUCAGAAAGCCACGGCUAACUACGU